CAGAGUGAGAUCAUCAAUUACUUUCCUUCUCUGAAGAACUGAGUAAACAUGACUCUAAGGAUCACCCAUUACUUGCAGAGCAAUGAGAGGCACAGAAGACGCUUUGCCUGCCCUUGGAAGUUUAAAUUUGUAUUGUGGGAGACAGAAGGGCUAAAAAAUAAAUCACAAAUGUAGAAUGUGAUGUGCCAUUUAAAAAAGCAGCAAAGAUAAAUGUACUGAACAAAGAGAUAUGAAACUAUGUUCUGAGGAAGUACUGAAGUGGCUUCUUGAGGACUUUAGAAAAGCACUUUCCCCAGAAACACAUCAGGGAGAAAAGUCAGAGA
RNAcentral lists this long non-coding RNA (323 nucleotides) under Homo sapiens (human). RNAcentral's name for it is "HSALNT0047742". Lineage: Eukaryota; Metazoa; Chordata; Mammalia; Primates; Hominidae. The record is from RNAcentral.